CUACGGGGGGCAGCAGUGGGGAAUAUUGCACAAUGGGCGCAAGCCUGAUGCAGCCAUGCCGCGUGUAUGAAGAAGGCCUUCGGGUUGUGAAGUACUUUCAGUAAGGAGGAAGGCAGUUGCGUUAAUAGCGUAAUUGUUUGACGUUACUUACAGAAGAAGCACCGGCUAACUCCGUGCCAGCAGCCGCGGUAAUACGGAGGGUGCGAGCGUUAACCGGAAUUACUGGGCGUAAAGCGCAUGCAGGUGGUCUGUUAAGUCAGAUGUGAAAGCCCCGGGCUCAACCCGGGAUGGUCAUUUGAAACUGGCAGGCUAGAGUACUGUAGAGGGGGGUAGAAUUUCAGGUGUAGCGGUGAAAUGCGUAGAGAUCUGAAGGAAUACCGGUGGCGAAGGCGGCCCCCUGGACAGAUACUGACACUCAGAUGCGAAAGCGUGGGGAGCAAACAGGAUUAGAUACCCCCGUAGUC
Molecule: ribosomal RNA, 464 nt
Filed under: uncultured bacterium
Lineage: Bacteria
Description: partial 16S ribosomal RNA
Rfam family: Bacterial small subunit ribosomal RNA
Source: RNAcentral